Molecule: long non-coding RNA, 1250 nt
Filed under: Mytilus galloprovincialis (Mediterranean mussel)
Lineage: Eukaryota; Metazoa; Mollusca; Bivalvia; Mytilida; Mytilidae
Source: RNAcentral
GCCAUCGAAUAAAAGUACGAAGGUGACAAGAUGGAACUACGACGGCAAUAAAUCCAGCUAAAUGUAAGUUAAUUUUCGCGCUUAAAUACAUUUAAAGUGCCAUGCGCGAUAUGCACUGGUCAGUCUAAUACGACAGUUAAGAAAGACGUUCACAAAACAUGGAGCUCAUAUCAUAUGAUUCUAUGAGAACAAGAAAGGCGACAGCGUUGUUUCUAUUAAUUCAAAUGGAACAAGAAGAGCAGGUAUUACAGGCUCAGGAUUUACUUUUACAAAUAAAAUAUUAUUUUUUGUCAAUUUUUCAUAUCAAAUAACAUAAUGAAAAUCAUAAACGCGCCUCGUAUACCAACACUGCAGGUACACGUAUAUAGGGAAACCAACUUUUUCUUCAUUAUUCUGAUUUUUUAUGCAUCGUCUGAGAUGUUGUCACACGAAUGUUUACUCCAUAAACAUUUUGUUUUCUAUAUGUCAUAUUUUGCCGCAUUUGUUGCUUUCCCCACAUCCUUCCUUUAGUCUAUAUUAUUAUGAUAUUCUCCUGGAAAGAGCUCUUUUUGAAUAAAAGGGAUCAACGAACCCAUUACCUUACCUUUAAGAUAGAUCAGUAAACAUGGGCAUAAUUAUGGGUGAUUAUUCAGACUAGUGCACACAUUUUACAGUUCAAACAAGGCAAUGCCGAGUGUGACAUCCCCUCGUAUGUAACAUAUUGGGGACAAAUAUGGACACUAUAUUUGUAUAUGACACAUGCAGAAAAUGGUAAAUUGAAUACGCAUAUUUGAUACAUAAACUAUUUUUUUAGAAAUCAACCAAAUUAUUCAGUAACUGGAAAUACCCACGGUCUUCCGUCUUAUGAUUAAACCAAAAAUUAAAUGUACAAUAUAAUAUAUAUUCAAUAUUGAUCAAACAAUUUAAAACGCGUGAUGCCUUCGGCAUAUAAUUUAAAUGCAUCGUAAGCUGUACAGACAUCGUAUGGCCAUCGCGCCAUCAUCGUAAUCCAUCGUGUAGCCUUCGUGAUCCAUCUUGUAGGCUUCGGCUGAGAUAUAAAGCUUAAAUACCGUCUUCGGUUAACCUUCGUAUGUCCAUCUUUUGCUAUCGUAUAUACUUUCGGCACCCUCGUAUAGACUUCGUUAUUCAUCGUACUUGCUUCGGUCACUUUUUGGUAUUUUAACGAGAUCGGGACCAACUUCGUACGAACUUACAAUUUUCGCAUUCGGGUGUCCAUCGUAUAUAAAAAUCGGGACAGUGUGACGCGGGCA